GAGUAACACGUAUCCAACCUGCCGUCUACUCUUGGACAGCCUUCUGAAGGAAGAUUAAUACAAGAUGGCAUCAUGAGUCCGCAUGUUCACAUGAUUAAAGGUAUUCCGGUAGACGAUGGGGAUGCGUUCCAUUAGAUAGUAGGCGGGGUAACGGCCCACCUAGUCUUCGAUGGAUAGGGGUUCUGAGAGGAAGGUCCCCCACAUUGGAACUGAGACACGGUCCAAACUCCUACGGGAGGCAGCAUG
RNAcentral lists this ribosomal RNA (246 nucleotides) under uncultured bacterium. RNAcentral describes it as "partial 16S ribosomal RNA". It matches the Rfam family "Bacterial small subunit ribosomal RNA", at positions 108 to 353 of the family's 1533-position model. The record is from RNAcentral.